Molecule: long non-coding RNA, 5599 nt
Organism: Taeniopygia guttata (zebra finch)
Lineage: Eukaryota; Metazoa; Chordata; Aves; Passeriformes; Estrildidae
Source: Ensembl
CACGGUGCCCUGCAGGACAGACCUGCGGCAGGGCAGCAGAACAUGUUAUAGAUAAGCAAAAAUAAACAACCUUGAAACCAGCACAGACGAACUAUGGCUUCUUCUUUGGCAACGGGGCAGAAAGACAGAGACUUUCUACAAUCUCGGAAUCACCAAUACCCACAGAUUCCAACAACAUGCAGGGGGGCUGGCCUCCGGCUGUGCUGCAACAGGGGUCCAGCCGCGGAUGGUGCGGCUGGAGGCGCAGCAGCGGCAGUGCGGCUGCGGCUGGCAGCACUGCUAUCAUUGCCACGGGUUGCAAUGGCGAAGCUGCAAAAGACAUUUAGUCAACCAAGUCAGCUGCUGCACAGGGAGGAGGAGAAGGCAGUUGUUCUGCAACUAAAGGUGAGCAGGCAAAAGGGAACAUAGCUCCUAUUGUGUGAUUUACCGUUUGGAGAGACACUGCUGAUGCGGUGGUCACAGCUGCUGUCUGUGCAGGCACCUGGAAAAGGAGGGGCAAGCUGGCAGGGGCUGCAACAUUGGCUGGAAGAAACACCCACCGGUAGGUACUAAUGAUGGGGGUGGCCAGCACAUCUGUGCAGGCUCUGUGGCUGAUGACAAGGGAGAUGACAGAGUGACCAGGCUGUUUGUGGCAACCGCCAACAGCAGAGAUGGCUCCACCCUCACCCGCAAUGGGGGGGGAACUUGAGUUAGGAACAGCAGCUCCUGCCAACCGUGAAAGAGUCGGUCCCCGACAUGUGGCAGGGGGAAGGCAAAGCUGGCCGGCAGGGCCAAGUCGCCUGUGGGGCAGCACAAGGCCAUCCCCCUGCUCCCUCCCAGACGGGGCAGGAACCACUGGCAGCUGGGGCAGGGCCAGUUGUUGCAGUAGCUUGCCAGCCUCUCUUCAUAGGGCAGAGAAGAACCAACCCACUGGCUGCAGCGGCGGUAGUUCUGGCACCAUCUGUGGUGAUGGAGGGGCCGAAAGUGGCGCAAGCAGAGAGAGGCUGUCCCCCAGGCGUGGCAGAGACACAGCUAUCGCUCUCAGCAGUGUUGCUUUUACUGGAGGAGGAGACAUCAUCUUCACAGAGUUGUAGGGAUAAGGAUAUUUUGGCAGAACAUAAUCUCUAGUGGAGAGAUAGGUUCCAUGGGAGGUCCCCAUGUUCCUUGCCAGUCCACGUGGAGCCGUAAAAAGCCAACAGCCACCCGGUCUGGAAAUCCUCCCCCCAGGGUGGAGGAUCCCCAUUUUUGACUCGCUGCCCCCCUGGGUGUGGCCUUAGAACACACAAGAUAGGAGUCCUAUGGGGAUCCAGUUUAAAAAUUUCUUCCAGAGCCCAUGGCCCAAUGCCUCCCACAAUUGCAGACUAACAGCGGUGUCUAUGUCUACCAGAAAGUCAUGAGAUUUGGCCCAGGCAAGCAGAGUGCAGAGCGAAUCAUCUGACACAGAGACUUCAAUAAAGGAAAUCAUGUCCUUCCACACAGAAACAAUUGCGUGUUCUUCUCUAGAGAGGUGACUCUCCAUCACAGAAGUACUGGCCCCCAACCUCCAGCAAGAAGUAUAACUGUCCACUUUGCUGGGGAAUUCAUUCCCACCCGCAUUUCCAAGCUAUCAGGGCAAAACCACGAUCCCAGUCCUUUCCAGGAGGAUGCACGGAAAGGUCAUUACCUCCCUGGUGGAACAGAGGGUGUUGGGAAGGAUAGAUAAAUACGAUUGCCUAGCAGAAGAAUCACAAUAGUACAGCCAGGAUGAAUAUCAUGCCCCCCGCUGGCUGGACAAUACCCUCACCUACAGAGGGGUCCAAAAGUCAAAUGGACAGUUCGAUCUUACCCCAAUGUAUGGUUCAUCCCACACCUGUAACCCUCCCCUGAAACAUCAGGUGUCUGUGACCCCAUUGGCCCAGGUCCUGUUCCAGCCCACCUUGAAGCCCCCUGAUAAGGGGUCUCCAAGGGGCCAGACGCCCUCUUGGAACUUCCUCCCUCCUCUUGGAUCCCCCCUCUUGGAACUCCCUGCUCUUCCCUUUGUCUCUCCCCUCCCCCAUCACCUCAGGCCCUGCCAUGUGCUGCAGCUCGAGGCAGGACCUCUCACCAUCCCGAAUAAACCUUAUCUUCCAAGAGCAACCAACAGAGAUCUCUCGUCUGAAUCCAUCCACACCGUCCAGGAGAAUCCUACGUCUUUACAAGAGGGUGUCCAGACACAGGUGGGCUAUGUGGGCGCUGUGGGGUCCCAGCGGAGGUCUGGUGGGGGUCCGGGGUGUCUCUGUCCAUCCUGCCAUCCACAAAGGGCCAAUCGCUGUGACUAACAUUGGGGUCACUAGAUGUUGUUGCUAUUGAGUAAGAAUCACCUCAACUAAAUCAUGGCAUCAAGUGUCAUAUCCAGUCUUUUUUCAAACACAUCCAGGGAUGAUGACUCCACCACUUCCCCAGGCAGACUGUUCCAGAACUUUAUGACUCUUUUGGUGAAAAACUUUUUCCUAAUAUCCAGUCUAUAUUUUUCUUGAUGCAGCUUGAUUGUCCUCUGAUUCCAUCAGCUGGUGCCCCUGGUGAAAGAGAUGAACCCCCACCUGAUUGCAACCACCCUUCAGGAAGUUGUAGAGAGUGAUAAGGUCACUCCUAAGUCUCCUUUUCUCCAGGCUAAACAACCCCAGCUCCCUCAGCCCUUCCUCAUCAGUCUUGUUGCACUUCUCUGGAUGCACUAAAGAAUUUAAACAUCCUUCCUAAACUGAGGAGCCCAACACUGGACACAGCACUCAAGGUGCAGCCUCACCAGUGCCAAGUGCAGGGGAAGAGUGACCUCCCUGGUUCUGCUGGCCACACUAUUGCUGAUACAGGCCAGGAUGCCACUGGCCUUCUUGGCCACCAGGGCACACUGCUGGCUUUCCCUCCACCUUGGCCACUUCGUUCUCUACUAAGUACCGGUCAUUAUGGUCUCUUAGUGACAGAUCCGAGAGAGAAAAACAAGAACCCUAACCUUCAACAGGCUCUCUCUUCAUAAACUUGGAGCAGCUGGGGGGGGUAAGGUGUUGCACUUUUCCUUCUUUCCUGGUCUUCAGUGAGGUCAAGAGGAACUCUGACUUUUCCAGUUCUGUUCCUGAUGUCCUUGCAAUGCCUGUGUAUGUCUCUUGGGUAGUUUUGAUGCUGCUUCCACCCCCCACAUUCUUAAUUUUUUGUAUUUAAACCCAAUCCAGAAUUUUCCACUCAGUCUGUCUGGCCUCCUGUUGUACUUGCUGAACAUUGGGAUGGAUCACUCUUGUUCUCCAUUGGUUAAUCAGAAAUUCAGGUAGCUGUUUUACAUCUACCUCAGCUCACUUCUACUCCAGGCUGAAAAAAGCUCAUUCCUUCCAUUGCUCCUCAUGCUCCAGGCCUCAGACAUUUUCAUGGCUUUCCUCUGAACUUAUUCCAGUUUAUCCAAGUUUUUCUUGCUUUGCAAGGCCUGAACACAGCACAGCUGGUGUGAUCUAAUGAGUGCCAGGUAAAGGGAACAGUCCCUUACUGGCCCCUGACAGGUGUAUCUGUCCAUGCAGCCCAGGACAUCACUGCAGCAGCCAGGAGACACUGCAGAUGUUCAUCCUAUUUAUGGUCCACCGAGCCCUCCAUGUCCAUCUCAGCAGAGCCAGUCCAUCCCAGCUUUGGAUUCAGCUCAAAUCCCAAGGCUUCCUCUACCUUUUUUCUGCCUUGCCCUCGAGCUCACAUGAUGGGUAACACCUUACUUGUAAUGCCUGUAGGAAAGUAAUAGGGCAAAGAGUGAAGAGAUGCAGAAUCCAAAGAAAGAUCCAGCAGAGAUGCAAACCAUUUGCAAAUACUGGGAAUGUGAAGAAGGCAUUUAUCAAUGUUGGAAUGGGGCAAAAGCUUCUGGAAACUGAAACCCUGGAUUUUCUAUUAGGGAUUAGUGCAGGCAAUGGUAGUAGGCAAGAAAUCUUGUCUUGGGAAAAAGGCAGGAUUUGAGGGGUAUCCAGUGCACCAUAAAAAGAUCAAAUUAUGAGAAACCACUGGGAGUCUGGGAACCGUAGAUACAUAUGUUUCUGCAUGAACGGAAAAGAUGUCCUGAGAGGAUGGUAGCAAUAGGGUGUGAGAGGGAAGAGCCCCAGGCAGAUGCUGCUGGUGGGUUGGUGCACACAGACCAGGCAGAGGGAAGCAGCAGAUGCCGCUGCCUCCUGUUCCAGGCUAAUGCUUCUUUUAGGUCCACCUGUGUUUGAUGAGGUCACAGAGCCAGAGCAGGUGAGGGCCCUUCUCUGGCACAUCCAGAGGUGAGUGAGUAGCCAUCGCAAGGCAGCUCUGUGCACAUUGGCAGUCGCAGGAAAGGCGACAGGAGAGGUGAUACCUCCGCCAGCCCGGGGCUGCGACAUUUCCUCCCGUGAGGAACCCUGAGCUCAUGGAUGGGGAGACUUUUAGCUGCCCCGUGUGAUACUUAGUUCUCAGUAGCAAAGAUGUUAUCAAACUCGUGUUGAUUUUAGAGGUUAGACUGACAACAAAAUUGGUAUUCAUAAGUUUUCUUUGUUGACUUUCAGAAACAUUAGGAAAUAUUUCAGAAAGGCAGUUCCUUCUGUCUGUGUAGGACAGUCACCCUCACCCUGCAGAUGCCUGUUCAUACCUGUCCCAUCAUCUAAGCCAAGAACAUUGCUCACUGCUGGAAUCUGUGCCAUGUGGGGGUGACAGAGUCCAGCAGCUCCAAAUGCGUGAGCUGGCACCGCUGCCCUGGGAUGAAAGGAACCAGUCGUGCAAAGACAAGGUCUACAGCAGGAUGUAAAGUUCCAUGAUUUGUUUCAAAAACCAAAAUUUUCAAUUUCAAGUCAAUAUUUUCCAUUUCAACAAAUUAAAUGAGUUGUCUUUGAAAGCUGAAAACAGUUGAGUUGCACACGUUCACCUAAGCUCUCUUUCAGAGGUAGGAAAAUCCAGUAUCUUUUAUUCCAACAAAAUCAUUUAAUCUAUUCCUUUAGGUUUGUCUGUCAAUGGUUAUCAAAUCCUGGUCAAGUGAUACCGAAGUUAUAAUUUAUGGGGAAAAAUUCUGUAAGUGCGGGGCUGUGCGUCUCCAUAUGGCGGGCGCCCCAAGCCCCCCGCCCGCAUCUGAGGGGAACUACCAGUUGUCUCGGACCACCCGCUGCGGGGUGACCCUCCUCUCGUCCCCGCUGUCCCAUAAUACCCACAAUGACCAUCCCGGGGUGACCCUUCUCUCAUCCCCGCUGUCCCCUCACAGUCCCUGUGAAAGACAAUAGCAUAGUUUUUGUUCAUCAGGAAAAGUCCCAGGGAUUGUGUAAGUCACAGGAAACAGUGGGGCAGGAGGGCAGGAUGUACUGCUAUUAGUAGAUAGUGGAAUUGAGAGAUCUUUAAAAGCUGCGUUACCAUAUUUGGAGAAGUUAUUGCAGGGUUAACGCUACCUCGGAGGAAAAAGAAUAGGAGCUUUCCUCAAACGACCACUGGACAGCAGAAAAAAGACCCCUAGCAACACGCCGCGCAGAUGCAGAGCACGUCGAGACUGUCACAAAGUCUGGAACUGAAGGGGUAUAAGAACUGAAAGACCGGGAGGUGCGGUGCGAGCCGUUGUGGGGAGCAGAGGCUCCCCGGCCGCCCAGCGCUGCAUUUGCCCGUACUGCUUGCUUGCUAAAUUAAUAAAAUUCGCUUUAUAAAG